GUCUGGUGAUUCUUCAUGAUUAGAUUGUGAGUUUUUGGUGAGAAUUCCUGGAAGUGAUAUGGUGUCACCCUCAUAUAUUUAGAUGGUGCAUUAUGUUGAAUUUAAACAGCUGUUAGGACUUCUGAACACACCCCAUGGUGCAAAGUACCCAUCGAUUUUUUUUUUUUU
Molecule: long non-coding RNA, 168 nt
Organism: Sapajus apella (tufted capuchin)
Lineage: Eukaryota; Metazoa; Chordata; Mammalia; Primates; Cebidae
Exons: 2
Source: RefSeq, a predicted model, not a curated record